GAUGAACGCUGGCGGCGUGCCUAAUACAUGCAAGUCGAGCGAACAGACCAGGAGCUUGCUCCUCUGACGUUAGCGGCGGACGGGUGAGUAACACGUGGAUAACCUACCUAUAAGACUGGGAUAACUUCGGGAAACCGGAGCUAAUACCGGAUAAUAUAUUGAACCGCAUGGUUCAAUAGUGAAAGACGGUUUUGCUGUCACUUAUAGAUGGAUCCGCGCCGCAUUAGCUAGUUGGUAAGGUAACGGCUUACCAAGGCAACGAUGCGUAGCCGACCUGAGAGGGUGAUCGGCCACACUGGAACUGAGACACGGUCCAGACUCCUACGGGAGGCAGCAGUAGGGAAUCUUCCGCAAUGGGCGAGAGCCUGACGGAGCAACGCCGCGUGAGUGAUGAAGGUCUUCGGAUCGUAAAACUCUGUUAUUAGGGAAGAACAAAUGUGUAAGUAACUGUGCACGUCCUGACGGUACCUAAUCAGAAAGCCACGGCUAACUACGUG
This 497-nucleotide ribosomal RNA is filed under the name uncultured bacterium. RNAcentral describes it as "partial 16S ribosomal RNA". It matches the Rfam family "Bacterial small subunit ribosomal RNA", at positions 28 to 507 of the family's 1533-position model. The record is from RNAcentral.